UUUUACAUAAAAAUUUUUUUUGGGUAGAAAUCUAAUUAUUGCAUAGCUCCUACAGUUCUUGAUGAAUUUUAACAGCCGGACCCUACAAUUGCAGCUUUAUAUUUCUCUCCCAGACAAAGAAGAAUUUAAAAAAAACACUCUGCUACAGAAUAAAUAAUAGAAAUAUCUUGGUUU
Cotesia glomerata is the source of this 174-nucleotide long non-coding RNA. RefSeq lists it as uncharacterized. The record is from RefSeq and is a predicted model, not a curated record. The transcript is spliced from 3 exons. Lineage: Eukaryota; Metazoa; Arthropoda; Insecta; Hymenoptera; Braconidae.